Molecule: ribosomal RNA, 253 nt
Filed under: uncultured bacterium
Lineage: Bacteria
Description: partial 16S ribosomal RNA
Rfam family: Bacterial small subunit ribosomal RNA
Source: RNAcentral
UACGGAGGGGGCGAGCGUUAUUCGGAAUUAUUGGGCGUAAAGGGCGCGUAGGCGGCUUGAUAAGUCAAAGGUGAAAUCCCUCGGCUCAACUGAGGAACUGCCUUUGAUACUGUCAGGCUUGAGGCCGGGAGGGGGUAGCGGAAUUCCCAGUGUAGCGGUGAAAUGCGUAGAUAUCUGGAGGAACAUCGGUGGCGAAGGCGGCAUCCUGGACCGGUAUUGACGCUGAGGCGCGAAAGCCAGGGGAGCAAACGGG